UGUCUUCGGUUCUGUACAGUACAGGAUGAACAAGAACGAGAGACUCCUCAGAAAGAGAGAGAGUAGAUGAGAAAACACGGAACUAAUAUAAACAAAGGUGAAACGAGGAGGUGAAGAGACUGAGGACGAGUUUGCCAUUUGGAUUUUACUGAUUUCGAACCGGCUUCCAUCUGUUUUGGCUCCGUGGACUCGCAGUUAAGGUGAUGAAUCUACUACCCGGCUGACUUGCUUCGUAUCUCCAGCGAGUGGAGUGGAAGAGCGCCAGACCCCAAACCUCCCUCGGUCUCUUCUGGAUUCGCGCUCCAGCUUGUGAGCAUCGGUGCCCUGGAUCUCUUGUCUCUCACCUCCCCUUUAUUCUCUGGACCUUGACGUGGGAACAGACCGUAACAGAUCGCCCAAUGCUGAGGAGGAACUGCCUGCUGCUGUUCCUGUGCUUCCUCUUUGAGCAGAGCUCCUGCACUCCCUUCCAGAGCAGGCCAGGCCAAGAGUGGCCCCACAGCCCAAC
Molecule: long non-coding RNA, 505 nt
Filed under: Danio rerio (zebrafish)
Lineage: Eukaryota; Metazoa; Chordata; Actinopteri; Cypriniformes; Danionidae
Description: lncRNA si:ch211-203d7.1 (ENSDARG00000096991.3)
Source: RNAcentral